AUCAUUAUUAGCAGAUUUUGUCAUUUACUAUUGUUAUUGUAAUAUAUUUAUGUGUACGUAAAGUUGAUCUAUAUCUUUAACAUUCAUAUAUAGUAGAAGUUAAUGCUCCUUUCAUGUUUGAGAUAAAUAAUUGUUUUUACAUUGUCAAUUUCCACUUAUAACAUGUUUCGCAGAGUAUGAGGGUGUUGUUUCCUACAACUAAUCGAGAUACAGGUCUUUUAUUAAAAUGAUAAAAGUAUGAUGAGACGAAAUGUUUUCUUGCCUGUCUGGCCAUUCGUCUGUCCGCUCAAGCGAUAAUUUGAUGAAAAAUUUAAAUAUCUUAAUAAAUCUUUGUACAUGUGUACACUGGCAAUCCAAAGAGAGUGGCAUUGCAGAUGUGUAAAAUAGUAAAUGUAAAUAAUAAACGAUUUUAAGCUAAUCUAACUCGAAUUUUAUAGUAGUGUACAGUCGGGAGGGUAAUGUUUAAUUUAAAAGUUGUGCAUACUAAUUAAGCUCUAUUAACCAAAUUUAACGGGAACAUUAACCAUAGCACCUUACGUAAAACUGUUAUAUUUGAAAUACUAGUCGGGUACCCAUCCCUUGGUUACCAUGUGACGGCCCUUCUAGAUUUAGUGUGAAUGAAAUCCGUUGAAAUUAAAGAAUCCAUAACAUUUAAAAUUGAAAUUUGCUGCUCUGAUGUCUUAUGAUGAGCCAUGGUUGAUGUGAUGAAGAUUCUAUCCAAGUCAAUGCCAAGAUAAGUUGAUCAAAUGCUUCAGCUGUGCUAUCCGCAAAAGUGGAUGUCAAUCCAUUUUUAGCUGUUGAUAUAUCUGCUGUGAAUAAGACAUAUAGAGUUGGCUCUUGCGCAAUGCCCUGAGAUACACCAGCCCUGGAUAAGGUUAAAUCGUGCAAAAACAGGAAUGCUUUUGUGAAUUUUUUGUGACGACACAGUUAAAAGCACUUUAUUAAAGACAAUGGUACUUUAAAUUAUAAAAUUCUAAGAUAUUGUAUAAAAGUUUUUAUGCAGAAGUAUUAAAAAAGACGGCAAUGGCAGCAAUUAUUCAGACAAUUUCAGAUUCCAAAAGGACCUCCUCAACUGUACGCUCCUCUUUUGGUUUCGCAAUUACUGUCAACACAUCUUCCUUUAGACC
Bactrocera oleae (olive fruit fly) is the source of this 1127-nucleotide non-coding RNA. The record is from RefSeq and is a predicted model, not a curated record. NCBI's taxonomy places the organism in Eukaryota, Metazoa, Arthropoda, Insecta, Diptera, Tephritidae.